This 544-nucleotide ribosomal RNA is filed under the name uncultured Glomus. Its description in RNAcentral is "SSU rRNA". It matches the Rfam family "Eukaryotic small subunit ribosomal RNA", at positions 549 to 1092 of the family's 1831-position model. The record is from RNAcentral. Lineage: Eukaryota; Fungi; Glomeromycota; Glomeromycetes; Glomerales; Glomeraceae.
GGUAGGGCAAGUCUGGUGCCAGCAGCCGCGGUAAUUCCAGCUCAAUAGCGUAUAUUAAAGUUGUUGCAGUUAAAAGCUCGUAGUUGAAUUUCGGGGUUAGUAGGUUGGUCGUGCCUUUGGUAUGUACUGGUCUCACUGAUUCCUCCUUCUUGAAGAACUGUAAUGUCAUUAAUUUGGUGUGGUGGGAAAUCAGGACUGUUACUUUAGAAAAAUUAGAGUGUUUAAAGCAGGCAUACGCUUGAAUACAUUAGCAUGGAAUAAUGAAAUAGGACGUUCGAAAACCUAUUUUGUUGGGUUUCUAGGGAUCAACGUAAUGAUUAAUAGGGAUAGUUGGGGGCAUUAGUAUUCAAUUGUCAGAGGUGAAAUUCUUGGAUUUAUUGAAGACUAACUACUGCGAAAGCAUUUGCCAAGGAUGUUUUCAUUAAUCAAGAACGAAAGUUAGGGGAUCGAAGACGAUCAGAUACCGUCGUAGUCUUAACCAUAAACUAUGCCGACUAGGGAUCGGAUGAUGUUAAUUUUUUAAUGACCCAUUCGGCGCCUUACG